RNAcentral lists this transfer RNA (62 nucleotides) under Mycopsylla proxima. RNAcentral's name for it is "tRNA-Ile". The record is from RNAcentral. Lineage: Eukaryota; Metazoa; Arthropoda; Insecta; Hemiptera; Carsidaridae.
UGAAAGAUGCCUGAAAAAAGGAUUAUUUUGAUGUAAUAAAUUAUGUUAUUUAACUCUUUCAA